GAGGGCACGAAGUGGUAUUGAUCAGCCCGAAGAACAGGAGGUGCACAACGGGACUGCUAAGAAAAUGAAAUAUGAACCGUGAGCAAUAAAAUGAAAUAUUUUGUGAUCAAGAAUUAUUAUCGUUAAUUUUUUUUAAUUUAUGAUUAAUUUGUAGUUGAUAAAUCACAAGGGAUUUUGUGAUUAAGAGAAAUAUUAUCGUUAAUUUUUUUAAUUUAUGAUUGACUAAUUUGUAGUUGAUAAAUCACAAGGGAUUUUGUGAUUAUGAAAAUAUUAUCGUUGAUUUUUUUU
This 288-nucleotide long non-coding RNA is filed under the name Medicago truncatula (barrel medic). RNAcentral describes it as "long non-coding RNA (MTRU_LNC005491)". The record is from RNAcentral. Lineage: Eukaryota; Viridiplantae; Streptophyta; Magnoliopsida; Fabales; Fabaceae.